GUGGGGAAUAUUGGGCAAUGGGCGAAAGCCUGACCCAGCAACGCCGCGUGAAGGAAGAAGGUCUUCGGAUCGUAAACUUCUAUCCUUGGUGAAGAUAAUGACGGUAGCCGAGAAGGAAGCCCCGGCUAACUACGUGCCAGCAGCCGCGGUAAUACGUAGGGGGCAAGCGUUGUCCGGAAUGAUUGGGCGUAAAGGGCGCGUAGGCGGCCUGGUAAGUCUGGAGUGAAAGUCCUGCUUUUAAGGUGGGAAUUGCUUUGGAUACUGUCGGGCUUGAGUGCAGGAGAGGUAAGUGGAAUUCCCGGUGUAGCGGUGAAAUGCGUAGAGAUCGGGAGGAACACCAGUGGCGAAGGCGACUUACUGGGCCGUAACUGACGCUGAAGCGCGAAAGCGUGGGGAGCAAACAGGAUUAGAAACCCUAGUAGUCC
RNAcentral lists this ribosomal RNA (425 nucleotides) under uncultured bacterium. RNAcentral describes it as "partial 16S ribosomal RNA". It matches the Rfam family "Bacterial small subunit ribosomal RNA", at positions 354 to 796 of the family's 1533-position model. The record is from RNAcentral.